RNAcentral lists this transfer RNA (73 nucleotides) under Planctomycetaceae bacterium. Its description in RNAcentral is "tRNA-Thr". It matches the Rfam family "tRNA". From Rfam's summary of the family: Transfer RNA (tRNA) molecules are approximately 80 nucleotides in length. Their secondary structure includes four short double-helical elements and three loops (D, anti-codon, and T loops). Further hydrogen bonds mediate the characteristic L-shaped molecular structure. tRNAs have two regions of fundamental functional importance: the anti-codon, which is responsible for specific mRNA codon recognition, and the 3' end, to which the tRNAs corresponding amino acid is attached (by aminoacyl-tRNA synthetases). tRNAs cope with the degeneracy of the genetic code in two manners: having more than one tRNA (with a specific anti-codon) for a particular amino acid; and 'wobble' base-pairing, i.e. permitting non-standard base-pairing at the 3rd anti-codon position. The record is from RNAcentral. Lineage: Bacteria; Pseudomonadati; Planctomycetota; Planctomycetia; Planctomycetales; Planctomycetaceae.
GCUGUUGUAGCUCAGUUGGUAGAGUACGUCCUUGGUAAGGACGAGGUCAUGAGUUCGAGCCUCAUCAACAGCU